CUCAAGGCCACCUGCCUAGUUAAGGGUAGAGAGAAUAUUCUACAGUCCCACGUUGAAGUUGUUAGCUUGGUUUCUGCCUACGUAUAUUCACGAUCUGGGGAUUAGGUCCUGAGAAAAGUGAAUGGCUGUUGUCAUUUCUAUCCUAUGCUUUACUCUGAAGGAGGCCCAGGAGGGUGACAGAGUGAGGAACGUGGAAUACAUUGGCAUCAUAUUGGUCACUCUUUGAAAUCUGUAAUCUGGCACCCCCCAACCUUGAUUUCCUAUAACCUGGAAGAAAAAAAACAAUCUUUACCUCAGCAUUGGCCUUGAAGACUUCUGAGUCCUAAGCCUGUGCUCCAUCCCCUGCAGAUUCCCACUGUUCUCUGGGAGCAGUUGCUCUUUCCACACACAUUUACUGAGCACCCAUUUCAUACCAGGCCCUGUGCUAGGCCAGGGGACACCCAAUAAGCAAGACAGACAUGGCUUUGAUCCUCAGUCUAGCAGAAGCAGAAAGGCUGCUUAAAAUGAUUCAUCCUGGAAUUUAUUAUUUAUUUCCUAUUUUAAAAUCUUUUUAGAGACAGGGUCUUGCUGUGUUGCCUAUGCUGGAGUGCAGUGGUACAAUCAUAGCUCACUGCAGCCUCAAACUCGUGGGCUCAAGUGAUCCUCCCACCUCAGCCUCUUGAGUGGUUGGGACUACAGGUACAUGCCAACAUGCCCAGCUAAUUUUUAAAAAUUUUUUGUAGAGAAGGGGUCUUGCUAUGUUGCCCAGGAUGGUCUCAGACUCCUGGGCUCAAGUGAUCCUCCUACCUCAGCCUUCCAAAGUUGAGGAUUACAGGCGUGAGCCAUCAUACUUCUAUUAUUAAUCCUAGGAAUGCCCUGGCAUCAGCAUUCAUAACUCGGGCUGUUAGGUGUCCCUACUCAUCUGUUCUGGAUCCUGAGUUGCCUUUCCCAGUCUCUGUGUCUGAAAACCAUUCCCUGUUUGUUUCCUGAUGCUCAUCCCAAAUUGGAUCCCAAAUCCUGAUUUAUGGGAGCCUACAUGGAUGACUGCUGACCACACCCCUGUGUUCUCCUUGCCUGGCUUGAGCACCUAAAUUUAUCAGUGUGCUGGGUGUUGGGGAUAGGAUGCUGAACAAGUGACACAUCACCCCCACUCUCAGGACUGGAUGCUGGCUCCAGGCUGCUACCCUCUGGCCCGGGCUAGGCAGUGUUUUCCCUUUUCUCUUGGAACUGAUGAGCAUUGGCCAUGGCUCUCUAAUUCAGAUGCUAAAUCUUUUGCAUGUUUUUGCUUUGAUCUCAUGUCAGUCUCUACCCUUGACUUUGACAUUUGGAUUCAUGGUAACCUCCCUGAUGAACUGGCCCCCAACUACAAUCUCGGGCAUGGCAACUUCCUGCCACUAUGCUCACCAGCUUGGUCUACCUCCUAGUUCUCCUUCUUUCUGGCUCACUUCAUCUGAAGCAACCAUGGCCUAGAGCUGACCCAUCAUGAUAACAGGCCUUCAAUAAAUAUUUAUGAAGUUGAGUCAACUCAGGAGCAGUUCAGAAAUUCCAGGAACCUCUAAAAGAAUACAAAAGAGUUGGCUGUCAUAUCAUGAUAUGUUCCAAGUUGAAAAUAACUCUUUUCAUCUCUGUGCUUCUCCGUGCUCCAGAAAUUUAAAAGAAAGCAUAGAGUCUCAUGGUGGGUGAGUCAGGGAGGGCCAAGGGGGCAGUUCUCCAUAUAGGACUUGCAUAUCUAGGAAUAGUUUGCAGCCUCAAACCCAGCCCUUUGGGAAGCCUGGAUGGCCCUGGAUGUUGGAAGUGCUGGGAACAGGUCCUACCUGUUACUGGCUGAUCUGGUGUGUUCUUACCUCCAUAUCUCUGCGUGAUAGGCUCUGUCCACACAGAAAGCAGAAGCAGUGCCCAUCUGUGAAGUUCUUUGUUUCCCUUUAAUGCCUCUUUAUGUUUUUGCAUAGGCUGUUCACUCUGGGUUAGAAACCUCUCAGCCUUCAUGAGCUUUCUUCAUACCCACAUAAGAUCAUUCGCACUGGGGCAAGCAAGCUGCCAUGUUGUGGGCAACUUUACAGAGAGGCCCACGUAGCGUGGUGAGAAACUGAGAUCCUCAGUGCAAUAGCCUGUGAGGACUGACACCUGCCAACUUACCAAAGAGUAAGCUCAGAAGUGGAUUUUUCAGCCCCAGUUGAGUCUUGAGAUGACGGAAGCCCGAGCCAACAGCUUGACUGCCAUGUUAUCAGAAACCCUGAGCCAGAAUCACUCAGUUUAACCACUCCUAGAUUCCUGACCCCCAGAACUGUGAGGCUGCUGCUAGCCCAUAAGGCAUCUUUGUGCCAGUUAUGAAACGGGACUCAUUCUUCAAGAUGCUUUUCUCCCUUUGGCUGGAAGAUUGUCAUAAAUCUCCAAUCUGUGAAGGGGGCCAUGCUGUAUUAGUCCAU
Molecule: long non-coding RNA, 2405 nt
Filed under: Homo sapiens (human)
Lineage: Eukaryota; Metazoa; Chordata; Mammalia; Primates; Hominidae
Description: HSALNT0029332
Source: RNAcentral